RNAcentral lists this ribosomal RNA (1248 nucleotides) under Triticum aestivum (bread wheat). RNAcentral describes it as "partial small subunit ribosomal RNA". The record is from RNAcentral. Lineage: Eukaryota; Viridiplantae; Streptophyta; Magnoliopsida; Poales; Poaceae.
AGGAGACUCGCUCCUAGUCCCCACCGCCAGCUCGUAGUCCUUUUUCUUCCAUCAAAGAAGAACCGGGGGAAUAAAGGGGGACAAGAGAAGGCACCAGCGGAAUUUUCCUUUUUCCUCCCCGAAGCGCAGCUCCGCGGGCGGCUUCGCGAUGGCCGCCGCCGACUACGACCGCGCGUACCGCCCCUACGCGCCCUCCUCCGCCGCCGACUACGACCGCCCCUACCGCAACGAGAUCGUGCCCUACGGCGACCGCCGCAUCGACCUCGUCGUCAAGCCGCCGCCGCCCACCAGGUCCCCGCCGCCGCCGUUGCCGGUCACCAAGAGCGGAGGCGGAGGCGGGAUAGGCUCCGCCUGGUGCUUCAGCGACCCGGAGGUGAAGAGGCGGCGUCGGGUGGCGAGCUACAAGGCGUACUCGGUGGAAGGAAAAGUCAAGGCCUCCUUCCGCCGGGGCUUCCGCUGGAUCAAGGACAAGUGCACGGGCUUCAUCCAUGGCUGAAUCCGUGGUCUUGGGUGAGUUCUAUUGGGAUCGAAGAAGACGCUGCAACAAUGUGCGAGUAACGGAUGCUGUUGCCUUUGCUAAUUUUGUCCAUGAGGUUGUGAUGGUAACUUUUGGGUCAGGUUUAUAGGAAACAAAAAAUUUAAGAGCUUCCUCAUGAGAUUGCUUUGAUUGCAGAUGCUGUUCUUACUGUCUGCUAGUUAGCUAGUUAUUUCAAGAAUGUCUCAACAGGAGUUGAAUCUUUGGAAAGGAACUGGUUAAUUUUCAUGAUAUCUCUAUAUGCCUCUCCUUAAGCCACGCCAUUCUGCAUAUGUAUUUUGAUGUUUUGAGAUAUUAUUAGGUUCUUUUAUACCACUUCAGUGUGACGGAGGCAUGGUUAGCUGAAUCAUGAGAGGAAAAUGGGCCAUCCCCAAAUUGGCGUAUCAGGAACCUGUCAAUUUGUUGUGCCGUUGCCGCCAACUGUUUUCAAUUUGCUAAGACAAGACUUUGUUGUCCCACUUAUGAGCCGUCCACUGCUCUCAAUUGAUAGUUUCCUCUUAAGUUAGCAAAAAAAAAAGUCGUUUUCCUCCAUGAGCGUAACAUAACCUGUGUAAUUAAGUUGGGUGACAAAUUUGAGAGCAUGCAACUUCUCCAUUUGGGUGGAUGAAGUGUGCACGUGAAAGAUUCCUGCUGCUGCUGCAUCAGGCAAUGGUCGAUGCGAUGCGACUAGCUCACACUCACAUGAGUUGGUGUGCAGAAAGAGACGAUGCGCC